RNAcentral lists this ribosomal RNA (432 nucleotides) under uncultured bacterium. RNAcentral describes it as "partial 16S ribosomal RNA". It matches the Rfam family "Bacterial small subunit ribosomal RNA", at positions 29 to 506 of the family's 1533-position model. The record is from RNAcentral.
AACGAACGCUGGCGGCAUGCCUAACACAUGCAAGUCGAACGAGACCUUCGGGUCUAGUGGCGCACGGGUGCGUAACGCGUGGGAACCUGCCCUUAGGUUCGGAAUAACUCCCCGAAAGGGGUGCUAAUACCGGAUAAUGUCUUCGGACCAAAGAUUUAUCGCCUUUGGAUGGGCCCGCGUUGGAUUAGCUAGUUGGUAGGGUAAAAGCCUACCAAGGCGACGAUCCAUAGCUGGUCUGAGAGGAUGAUCAGCCACACUGGGACUGAGACACGGCCCAGACUCCUACGGGGGGCAGCAGGGGGGAAAUUUGGACAAGGGGCGAAAGCCUGAUCCGGCAAUGCCGGGUGGGUGAUGAAGGCCUUAGGGUUGUAAAGCUCUUUUCCCCGGGAUGAAAAUGACAGUACCGGGAAAAAAAGCCCCGGCUAACCCCGU